Molecule: non-coding RNA, 74 nt
Organism: Lupinus angustifolius (narrow-leaved blue lupine)
Lineage: Eukaryota; Viridiplantae; Streptophyta; Magnoliopsida; Fabales; Fabaceae
Source: Rfam
GGGCUUAUAGUUUAAUUGGUUGGAACGUACUUCUCAUAAUGGUAACAUUGUAGGUUAGAGCCCUACUAAGCCUA